This 497-nucleotide ribosomal RNA is filed under the name uncultured bacterium. Its description in RNAcentral is "partial 16S ribosomal RNA". It matches the Rfam family "Bacterial small subunit ribosomal RNA", at positions 28 to 507 of the family's 1533-position model. The record is from RNAcentral.
GACGAACGCUGGCGGCGUGCCUAAUACAUGCAAGUUGAGCGCUGAAGGUUGGUACUUGUACCAACUGGAUGAGCAGCGAACGGGUGAGUAACGCGUGGGGAAUCUGCCUUUGAGCGGGGGACAACAUUUGGAAACGAAUGCUAAUACCGCAUAAAAACUUUAAACACAAGUUUUAAGUUUGUAAGAUGCAAUUGCAUCACUCAAAGAUGAUCCCGCGUUGUAUUAGCUAGUUGGUGAGGUAAAGGCUCACCAAGGCGAUGAUACAUAGCCGACCUGAGAGGGUGAUCGGCCACAUUGGGACUGAGACACGGCCCAAACUCCUACGGGAGGCAGCAGUAGGGAAUCUUCGGCAAUGGACGAAAGUCUGACCGAGCAACGCCGCGUGAGUGAAGAAGGUUGUCGGAUCGUAAAACUCUGUUGGUAGAGAAGAACGUUGGUGAGAGUGGAAAGCUCAUCAAGUGACGGUAACUACCCAGAAAGGGACGGCUAACUACGUG